Molecule: ribosomal RNA, 404 nt
Filed under: uncultured bacterium
Lineage: Bacteria
Description: partial 16S ribosomal RNA
Rfam family: Bacterial small subunit ribosomal RNA
Source: RNAcentral
AUUGAACGCUGGCGGCAGGCCUAACACAUGCAAGUCGAGCGAGCGGCGGACGGGUGAGUAAUGCCUGGGAAUUGCCCAGUCGAGGGGGAUAACAGUUGGAAACGAUUGCUAAUACCGCAUACGAUUGGAUCGCCCAGGUGGGAUUAGCUAGUUGGUGAGUUAAUGGCUCACACAGGCGACGAUCCCUAGCUGGUCUGAGAGGAUGAUCAGCCACACUGGAACUGAGACACGGUCCAGACUCCUACGGGAGGCAGCAGUGGGGAAUAUUGCACAAUGGGGGAAACCCUGAUGCAGCCAUGCCGCGUGUGUGAAGAAGGCCUUCGGGUUGUAAAGCACUUUCAGCGAGGAGGCGUUCCUCUCCUUAGAAGCACCGGCUAACUCCGUGCCAGCCGCCGCGGUAAUAC